UAUAGAGGUCUCAAGCGUUGUUCGGAUUCAUUGGGCGUAAAGGGUGCGUAGGUGGUGAUGCAAGUCUGGUGUGAAAUCUCGGAGCUCAACUCCGAAAUUGCACCGGAUACUGCGUGACUCGAGGACUGUAGAGGAGAUCGGAAUUCACGGUGUAGCAGUGAAAUGCGUAGAUAUCGUGAGGAAGACCAGUUGCGAAGGCGGAUCUCUGGGCAGUGCCUGACACUGAGGCACGAAGGCCAGGGGAGCAAACGGG
This 253-nucleotide ribosomal RNA is filed under the name uncultured bacterium. Its description in RNAcentral is "partial 16S ribosomal RNA". It matches the Rfam family "Bacterial small subunit ribosomal RNA", at positions 524 to 776 of the family's 1533-position model. The record is from RNAcentral.